UACCUUAAGGCACACAAGUGGAACCCCAAACAUAUCUCUAUGAAAAUGGGGCAAGCUUUUGUUUAUGGGAUGGAAACAAGUUGUUCAACGAAAUGUCUCAAAUGCGUUUGAUCAAGCUAGCUAGCUUGUCGCAAAAGUGCAAAACCAAUCAAGUUACAAGAUGUAACAUAUUAUUACGGCUUCUUGUCGAUGGAAAGUAGUAAACAUAUAUACUUAAAUGUGGAUCGACUCAGAUCGACUCAUGGACAACGUACCUUUUCUACGCUUCGAUUGAAUGCCGGCGAGAGGUUUCUGUUCACCAUAGGAGUAAGGAAGCACUCGGCUAGCACUUCAUCGAUCUCUCUACUAAAAUUGGACUUAGUGUGUUGUGUGAUUGUUUCUUCCCAUGGGAGUAUGGGAGUGCUUGAUCAGUAUAUAAGUUGGAAUCUGUAUGCAUAGGUCGAUCCCUUGUAUUUCAAGAAUGGAGAGGACUUCGGUACCCAUAUAUAUGCAGGGACAAAACCACAUUGAAGGGGUU
This 517-nucleotide long non-coding RNA is filed under the name Fragaria vesca (wild strawberry). RNAcentral describes it as "long non-coding RNA (FVES_LNC005151)". Lineage: Eukaryota; Viridiplantae; Streptophyta; Magnoliopsida; Rosales; Rosaceae. The record is from RNAcentral.